AUUGAACGCUGGCGGCAUGCCUUACACAUGCAAGUCGAACGGCAGCGCGGGGCAACCUGGCGGCGAGUGGCGAACGGGUGAGUAAUAUAUCGGAACAUACCCUAGAGUGGGGGAUAACGUAGCGAAAGUUACGCUAAUACCGCAUACGCACUAAGGUGGAAAGUGGGGGAUCUUCGGACCUCAUGCUCAUGGAGUGGCCGAUAUCUGAUUAGCUAGUUGGUGAGGUAAAGGCUCACCAAGGCGACGAUCAGUAGCUGGUUUGAGAGAACGACCAGCCACACUGGAACUGAGACACGGUCCAGACUCCUACGGGAGGCAGCAGUGGGGAAUUUUGGACAAUGGGGGCAACCCUGAUCCAGCAAUGCCGCGUGAGUGAAGAAGGCCUU
Molecule: ribosomal RNA, 386 nt
Filed under: uncultured bacterium
Lineage: Bacteria
Description: bacterial SSU rRNA
Rfam family: Bacterial small subunit ribosomal RNA
Source: RNAcentral